CCUACGGGAGGCAGCAGUGAGGAAUAUUGGUCAAUGGGCGCGAGCCUGAACCAGCCAAGUCGCGUGAGGGAAGACGGCCCUAUGGAUUGUAAACUUCUUUUGUCGGGGAGUAAACGACGCCACGCGUGCCUUUCCGAGCGUACCCUAAGAAUAAGCAUCGGCUAACUCCGUGCCAGCAGCCGCGGUAAUACGGAGGAUCCGAGCGUUAUCCGGAUUUACUGGGUGUAAAGGGAGCGUAGACGGCAUUACAAGUCGGAUGUGAAAUACCCGGGCUCAACCUGGGAACUGCUUUGGAAACUGUAUGGCUGGAGUGCAGGAGAGGUAGGCGGAAUUCCUAGUGUAGCGGUGAAAUGCGUAGAUAUCACGAAGAACUCCGAUUGCGAAGGCAGCUUACUAAACUGCCACUGACAUUGAUGCUCGAAAGUGUGGGUAUCAAACAGGAUUAGAUACCCGGGUAGUC
RNAcentral lists this ribosomal RNA (460 nucleotides) under uncultured bacterium. RNAcentral describes it as "partial 16S ribosomal RNA". It matches the Rfam family "Bacterial small subunit ribosomal RNA", at positions 338 to 795 of the family's 1533-position model. The record is from RNAcentral.